Scylla paramamosain (green mud crab) is the source of this 742-nucleotide long non-coding RNA. RefSeq lists it as uncharacterized. The transcript is spliced from 5 exons. Lineage: Eukaryota; Metazoa; Arthropoda; Malacostraca; Decapoda; Portunidae. The record is from RefSeq and is a predicted model, not a curated record.
GUUGUGGUGCACGUGUGUGUCGCAUUCUGCGGACAGCAUGAAACAAGACCGCCCAAGCCGUACGCAGCAUCUGAUUCCAUCGGCUCAGCAGGUCCUUGGUGGUGCGCUGGGUGGCUGAGUGCUAGCAGACUCGGAGGAAGCUGAGGAUGGUGGAUGACAACUCCCCUGUAAGAGUUUCAUCCCUGACCACAGGAAGGCAGUAAGGGAGUGGUGAAUGAUCAUAACAUGGACUGGGAUGCCUGAAGGAGUCGAGUAACGCGGGAGCUGGUGCGCGGGAGGAGUGGCAGCUGUCACAUCUUAACGCGGUCACGGUCAGGGGAUGUUCCUUCAGAGUGUGGAGUGUCAAACUUAAUUUUCUGCGUGAAAGUAUUUUUGUAUCCCACGACGUUUGUGAGUGAUGGUGUCAGCCUCGCCUAGCAGUCCCCGCACCCCGAGCUGUCAUCCGCGCAUCAUCCCAUACGCUGCUUCUUCACAAAGGGAAUACUUAUCUUCCACAUUUGAAUAAUCGUGUCUGUUUUCGUUUUGUUAAUGCCGAGUCAGUAGGGAGCUUGGAAAGAUUAAAUUUAUAAGGAUGAUAAGUGAUGCGUGUAUGUUUCUUUACACAGGGAAUGUCACGUUUAGGCCUGCAGACUUUGUGCCGCUUCCCUUACGUUCUCAUGCUGUAUGUUAUGUAUCUUUUUUUCAAGUCCUUUCUUUAAAUUUUUGUAGUGGAAAUGUGGGGAGACUUUUCUACUUUUGUGCC